GGCUUUUAUUUCUUAAAUCUCUGACACUUUGAAUGUCUCCUUGGGCCCCUGAAGAGAGGAAGUGGUGGCCUGGAUCUGGUGACUAUCCCUUGAUUCUGCGGUGGUGCCACAGGCACAGUCCAGCACAUGCUCACUUUGUUUUCCUUUUCUGACAAGUGUUUUUGGAAAUCGUCAGUGAGAAGUCCAGAUACUCUCUCCAUCAGAACAUGGACAAGAUCAAGGUUCCGACGCAGAUCAUCUGGGGGAAACAAGACCAGGUGCUGGAUGUGUCUGGGGCAGACAUGUUGGCCAAGUCAAUUGCCAACUGCCAGGUGGAGCUUCUGGAAA
Molecule: small RNA, 327 nt
Filed under: Pan troglodytes (chimpanzee)
Lineage: Eukaryota; Metazoa; Chordata; Mammalia; Primates; Hominidae
Description: retained intron
Source: RNAcentral